Molecule: long non-coding RNA, 791 nt
Organism: Centropristis striata (black sea bass)
Lineage: Eukaryota; Metazoa; Chordata; Actinopteri; Perciformes; Serranidae
Exons: 3
Source: RefSeq, a predicted model, not a curated record
ACUGCCGUCGGAGUUACUGUCAUCGGAGUUUCUGCUUUUUUCGCCAGGUUUCAGCGCCAUUGGAUUAAAUGAAUUACAUGAUGUGUACACAAGGCGUACCACUAUCCUACAUGCCCUUCCUGUAUAUCUGCGGGAGGAAAUCUCUGGAUUUUACAGAACAUGCGUGGAUGAUUUAGAGGAGCCAGAUGUCACAGAUGCAACGGUGGCCCUCCUUACAACCAUCAGCGAAAAUACCAUGAGUCCAGUCCACUACCACCCAGUAAAAACCUCUGUUGUCCUCGAAGGUGAUGUGGUGGUCAGCCUCCCCAGACUUGAUGAUGAUUCCUCUUAAUGUUCGGCCUAAUCUAUGCGCUACAUCUGAGCUAUCCCCAAGGACUGACCAACACUUUUGAGUUCAUUCAGAAAGUCGUACUUGGUCUGGAUGAGGGUAAAUUGUCACCCAGGCUGCAGACACUCAAGAAUGACUUGAUGAUAUGAUGAUGACAUCAUCUACAACAGUGUCCAUGUUGACGACUGUUUAACUGUGUUGAAGUUACUCCACAGGCCUAUUUGUUCAUGCAGUUUCACAUUUUAAAGGAAAACACAGUUCAUAGUGUUGAACUUUGUUUAGAUUUUAGUAAUUUAGUUGCUGGGACCUUAUUUCCCUCUGAGGACUUCUUGUUUAUUCUAUGGUAUGCUUCUUGUUUUAUUAUAUGGUGAAAAAAUGUUUAAAUUCAUUUUCCAAAGCUACAUACCUUGAAGUUCAAAGUUUAAAGCAAAUGUAAACCUUUGUACAUGUUAAUGUGGAUUUA